RNAcentral lists this ribosomal RNA (718 nucleotides) under uncultured archaeon. Its description in RNAcentral is "bacterial SSU rRNA". It matches the Rfam family "Archaeal small subunit ribosomal RNA", at positions 156 to 857 of the family's 1478-position model. The record is from RNAcentral.
AUAGGUGAAGAACUCUGGAAUGAGUCUUUGCCAAAAAGAUGCUAGAGUUAUGCUCUUUGGCAUCGCCCAAGGAUGAGGCCGCGACCGAUCAGGUUGUUGGUGAGGUAAUGGCUCACCAAGCCUUUUACCGGUGCGGGCCGUGAGAGCGGGAGCCCGGAGAUGGGCACUGAGACAAGGGCCCAGGCCCUACGGGGCGCAGCAGUCGCGAAAACUUUGCAAUACACGAAAGUGUGACAGGGCUAUCCCGAGUGCCAUCCGCUGAGGAAGGCUUUUACCCAGUCUAGAACGCUGGGGGAAUAAGGAGAGGGCAAGUCUGGUGUCAGCCGCCGCGGUAAUACCAGCUCUCCGAGUGGUGUGGAUGUUUAUUGGGCCUAAAGCAUCCGUAGCUGGCUAAGUUAGUCCCUUGUUAAAUCCACCGAAUUAAUCGUUGGAUUGCGGGGGAUACUGCUUGGCUAGGGGACGAGAGAGGCAGACGGUAUUUCCGGGGUAGGGGUGAAAUCCUAUAAUCCCGGGAGGACCACCAGUGGCGAAGGCUGUCGGCUAGAACGCGCUCGACGGUGAGGGAUGAAAGCUGGGGGAGCGAACCGGAUUAGAUACCCGGGUAGUCCCAGCUGUAAACGAUGCAGGCUAGGUGUUGGCGCGGCUACGUGCCGCUCCAGUGCCGCAGGGAAGCCGUUAAGCCUGCCGCCUGGGAAGUACGGCCGCAAGGCUGAAACUU